UUUACGAAGUAACUGCCGAAGACAGUAGGUGCCGUAAGGCAUAAGGGUCAAAACGCCUACCGAGGAAGACAAGAUUCAUUAGAUUUGAAUUUGUAAACCUCUGUGCUUUGGCGCGGAGGUUUUUU
RNAcentral lists this small RNA (125 nucleotides) under uncultured Bariatricus sp. RNAcentral's name for it is "Ribosomal protein L10 leader". It matches the Rfam family "Ribosomal protein L10 leader", at positions 10 to 129 of the family's 138-position model. From Rfam's summary of the family: This family is a putative r-protein leader autoregulatory structure found in B. subtilis and other low-GC Gram-positive bacteria. The record is from RNAcentral. Lineage: Bacteria; Bacillati; Bacillota; Clostridia; Lachnospirales; Lachnospiraceae.